RNAcentral lists this unclassified non-coding RNA (340 nucleotides) under soil metagenome. RNAcentral describes it as "partial contains 5.8S ribosomal RNA, internal transcribed spacer 2, and large subunit ribosomal RNA". The stretch from base 1 to 120 matches the Rfam family "5.8S ribosomal RNA", at positions 35 to 154 of the family's 154-position model. The record is from RNAcentral.
GAUGAAGAACGCAGCGAAAUGCGAUAAGUAAUGUGAAUUGCAGAAUUCAGUGAAUCAUCGAAUCUUUGAACGCACAUUGCGCCCGGCAGUAUUCUGCCGGGCAUGCCUGUUCGAGCGUCAUUUCAACCAUCAAGCCCCAGCGCUUGUGUUGGGGGCCUGCGGCUGCCCGCAGGCCCUGAAACCCAGUGGCGGGCUCGCUAGUCACACCGAGCGCAGUAGCACAUCUCGCUCAGGGCGUGCGGCGGGUUCUUGCCGUAAAACAACCCCCCCUUUUCACCAAGGUUGACCUCGGAUCAGGUAGGAAUACCCGCUGAACUUAAGCAUAUCAAUAAGCGGAGGA